RNAcentral lists this ribosomal RNA (1146 nucleotides) under Beckerella helenae. RNAcentral's name for it is "LSU rRNA". It matches the Rfam family "Eukaryotic large subunit ribosomal RNA", at positions 981 to 2178 of the family's 3401-position model. Lineage: Eukaryota; Rhodophyta; Florideophyceae; Gelidiales; Gelidiaceae. The record is from RNAcentral.
GGGCCGACAUAGCUGUUGUUUUGUGCGGUAAAGCGAAUGAUUAGCGUAUUUGGGGGCAUUUAGCCUUCAGACGAUUCUCAAACUUUCAAUGCGCAAGGGUGUUGCUGCUUAAUUGAGCUUCACCGGUAAAAACGUCGGCCCUGUGGGCCACUUUUGGUAAGCAGAACUGGCGAUACGGGAUGAACCGUAAGCACGGUUAAGGCGCCGGACUACUCGCUUAUAGAUCCCACAAAAGGUGUUGAUUCAUCGAGACAGCAGGACGGUGGCCAUGGAAGUCGGAAUCCGCCAAGGAGUGUGUAACAACUCACCUGCCGAAUGAAUUAGCCCUGAAAAUGGAUGGCGCUUAAGCGGGUGGCCGACACCGUGCCGUCUGAAUGAUAAAUUUCAGAUGAGUAGGAGGACGUGGUGAUCGUGACGAAGUAUGCGUGCGAACGCGUAUCGAACGAUCACUAGUGCAGAUCUUGGUGGUAGUAGCAAAUAUUCAAGCGAGAUCCUUGAAGGGCGAAGCGGGGAAGGGUUCCACGCUAACAUUGAUUGGGCGUGGGUGAGUCGUUCCUAAGCCGAGUGGCAAUUGCUAAGUAACGGCGAAAGGGAAGCGGGUUUACAUUCCCGCACACGGAUGUGGAGGCGGUGACGCUUUAUUGGGGCGAACACGCUGGCGAUGGCGCUGGGCAGAGUUGUCUUUUCUGUUUGACCGUUUGCGCAUGCAGUGUGGAGUCCGCUUGUCGGGAGAAACACGCAUGCGCGGGCAUAGCGCCGGGGCUUAUCCGGCGUCCAGCUCGCCAUCGACGGCCCUUGAAACUUUGCCUGCUGGUUUUAGAAUCCACGCCGUGGCGUACCGAUCACCGCAUCAGGUCCCCGAGGUGAACAGCCUCUGCUCAAUAUGAAAAAUGCAGGUAAGGGAAGUCGGCAAAUUAGACCCGUAACUUUGGGAAAAGGGUUGGCUCUAGUGCUGCGUGGGAGUGGUUGUCAAGUUGUGGCGCUCUCGAAGGUACUGAUUUGCGCGGCGCUUCGGUGUUGUUCGGUCGGCGCCAUUGAUUGUGCUGCUCUUGACGACGCCCACAGCAUGCAGCAGACUAGAACUGCAACGGGCAAAGGGAAUCCGACUGUUUAAUUAAAACAAAGCAUUGCGAGGGCCGUGGCCGG